UUCAUUUGUCAAGUUUUUCUCUCUCUCUCUUCCCCUCCUCUCUCUCUCGUACGCUCUCACUCUUUCUCUUCACACUUUCAUCUCUCUUUCUCCUCCCCAUCUCAUCCUUCACCAUAACAUCCACACCACAGCCUCCACCACCAUCUACAAAUCAAUCACUCGUAAGAGUGAGGGAGUGGCCGAGUGAGAGAAGCCGGCGGGAGAGAAGUUCUGGCGAGGAGGAGGAGUUCCGGCCGAGAGAGUUCUUGUGGCCGUUUGUGGUGACACGGCGGUGCUUGGCAACGGCGGCAAUGAAGCUUCUUGCUCCUUCUUUCCUCUGGUUCGAUCUCAAAUUGUUGAAGCUAGAUGUGAGAGAAUUGGCGAUUCAAUUCGGUUGUGUUCGGAUUAUACCUUAUGUUCGUGACGGUCUUAAGCUGAUUAUAAUGCAAAGCUUUCUGAUUUUAGCCUGGCAAGGGAUGGUCCGAAUGACAACGGAAGCCACGUCUCCACCAGGAUAAUGGGAACCGAGGGAUAUGCAGAUCCCGAAUAUGUAGACUCGGGCCAUCUUACUACUAAUAGUGAUGUCUAUAGUUUUGGAGUUGUCCUGCUAGAAAUAUUAACUGGUGAGUUGGUACUUGACAUGACUAAAUAUGGAAGAGACAACUUGGUCUAUAAGAGGCAUACAAGGUAGCCACUCUUGCUUUGCAAUGCCUAUCAUUAGAAUCCAAGUUCAGGCCUAACAUGAAUGAAGUUGUUAGAACUUUGGAGAGGCUGCAAGUUCCUAAUUUGAAUGUAGGCAAUCUAAAGCAUGCUGAUGGACAAUCUCCAAACUUGGUAGAACUGACUGUCCUGCAGACAGACCAGGGAAUCCACCUUGCAUGAUUUGCUGGUGAUGUUGUCCAUGAUCACAGCUCAAAGUUGAUAAGAUUAAGCUAAUUGAACUCUGUGGUACAUCUGAAGCUGAAUUUUCCAGUGUAAGUGUUUUAUAUGUUUCUACUACUAUGAAAGAUUUGUGCCAUGAUGUUUUUGGGGUAGCUAAAGAAAAGAAAGAUCCUAAAGAAGUUAAGACCAAUAGAGAUUUGCUUGAUGUCUUACCAAGCAAAAGAAAAGCUGAGGACGGUAGCUAUUUG
This is a long non-coding RNA of Trifolium pratense (red clover), 1109 nucleotides long. RefSeq lists it as uncharacterized. The record is from RefSeq and is a predicted model, not a curated record. The transcript is spliced from 7 exons. NCBI's taxonomy places the organism in Eukaryota, Viridiplantae, Streptophyta, Magnoliopsida, Fabales, Fabaceae.